RNAcentral lists this ribosomal RNA (253 nucleotides) under uncultured bacterium. RNAcentral's name for it is "partial 16S ribosomal RNA". It matches the Rfam family "Bacterial small subunit ribosomal RNA", at positions 524 to 776 of the family's 1533-position model. The record is from RNAcentral.
UACGGAGGGUGCAAGCGUUGUUCGGAAUCAUUGGGCGUAAAGCGCGUGUAGGCGGCUAUCUAAGUCUGAUGUGAAAGCCCGGGGCUUAACCCCGGAAGUGCAUUGGAUACUGGAUGGCUAGAGGACGAGAGAGGGAAGUGGAAUUCCUGGUGUAGGGGUGAAAUCCGUAGAUAUCAGGAGGAACAUCGGAGGCGAAGGCGGCUUCCUGGCUCGUUUCUGAUGCUGAGACGCGAAAGCGCGGGGAGCAAACAGG